UCUAGCGAGACUGCCGGUAAUAAACCGGAGGAAGUGGGGAUGACGUCAAAUCAUCAUGCCCCUUAUGACCUGGGCUACACACGUGCUACAAUGGGCGGUACAAAGGGUCGCGAACCCGCGAGGGGGAGCCAAUCCCAAAAAGCCGACUCUCAGUUCGGAUUGCAGGCUGCAACUCGCCUGCAUGAAGCCGGAAUCGCUAGUAAUCGCGGAUCAGCAUGCCGCGGUGAAUACGUUCCCGGGCCUU
RNAcentral lists this ribosomal RNA (244 nucleotides) under uncultured Anoxybacillus sp. RNAcentral describes it as "partial 16S ribosomal RNA". It matches the Rfam family "Bacterial small subunit ribosomal RNA", at positions 1139 to 1382 of the family's 1533-position model. Lineage: Bacteria; Bacillati; Bacillota; Bacilli; Caryophanales; Anoxybacillaceae. The record is from RNAcentral.